This 513-nucleotide ribosomal RNA is filed under the name Dematochroma sp. JGZ-32. RNAcentral describes it as "partial 12S ribosomal RNA". The record is from RNAcentral. Lineage: Eukaryota; Metazoa; Arthropoda; Insecta; Coleoptera; Chrysomelidae.
ACGCUUUCUAGAGCCUAACUCAUUUUAAUUAAUAAUUAAAAUUACAUUCAAAUCCACAUUCAAAAUCUUAAUAAUAAAACCUAUCCUAAAAUAUAUUUAUUGUAAUCCAUCUCUACUUAAAUAAGCUGCACCUUGAUCUGAUUUAUGACACAAUCAUAUAUCCAAAUUAUAUAUUUCAAAAAAUAAUUAACAACGACGAUAUACAAACAAAAUUUAAGUACUAUUAAUCGUGAACCAUCGAUUACAGGACAGAUUCCCCUGAUUGGAAUAAAAAACCGCCAAAUUUUUUGAUUUUAAAGAACAUAACUUUUAUUCAUCUAGUAUAAAUUUCCACACCUAGAAUAAUGGGGUAUCUAAUCCCAGUUUAUAGUCUAGACUUCUUAACUUCGCAUUCACUAAUAAAAUUAUAUAAAAAAUAAGAUUUCACCCAAUAUUUCAUUAAUAUAAAAAUUAAAACUUACUAAUUAAUUAUAAAUACUGAAAAAAAAUAAUAGUAUUACUUGUAUAACCGCA